GAAUUAGUUCAGUUGGUUAGAGCGCCAGUUUGUGGCACUGGAGGUCGUGGGUUCGAAUCCCACAUUC
RNAcentral lists this transfer RNA (67 nucleotides) under uncultured Eubacterium sp. It matches the Rfam family "tRNA". Rfam says of the family: Transfer RNA (tRNA) molecules are approximately 80 nucleotides in length. Lineage: Bacteria; Bacillati; Bacillota; Clostridia; Eubacteriales; Eubacteriaceae. The record is from RNAcentral.